CACGAUGAUUUUCUUCGCCGGGCGUCUC
Molecule: non-coding RNA, 28 nt
Filed under: Bombyx mori (domestic silkworm)
Lineage: Eukaryota; Metazoa; Arthropoda; Insecta; Lepidoptera; Bombycidae
Source: RNAcentral